UUGGUGAUGGUGAUGAGUUUGUAGAUCUUACUUUACUAAACAUUCUUGCUGCUUACAAUUAUCUCUAUCUAUAAUGAACUUGGCCCAGUAGUUUCAGUGGAAAAUGCUAGUGAAAAUUUACAAAUUUUAUGAAAAUUGUUAAAAAUUGACUAUAAAGGGCAAUAACUCCUUAGGAGGUCAAUUGACCAUUUUGGUCAUGUUGACUUAUUUUUAGGUCUUACUUUGCUGUACAUUAUUGCUGUUUACAGUUUAUCUCUAUCUAUAAUAAUAUUCAAGAUAAUAACAAAAAACGGCAAAAUUU
Molecule: long non-coding RNA, 301 nt
Filed under: Mytilus galloprovincialis (Mediterranean mussel)
Lineage: Eukaryota; Metazoa; Mollusca; Bivalvia; Mytilida; Mytilidae
Source: RNAcentral